AGAGUUUGAUCCUGGCUCAGAUUGAACGCUGGCGGCAUGCCUAACACAUGCAAGUCGAACGGAAACGAUGGGAGCUUGCUCCCAGGCGUCGAGUGGCGGACGGGUGAGUAAUACUUAGGAAUCUACCCAGUAGCGGGGGACAACUCGGGGAAACUCGAGCUAAUACCGCAUACGCCCUACGGGGGAAAGCAGGGGAUCUUCGGACCUUGCACUAUUGGAUGAGCCUAAGUCGGAUUAGCUUGUUGGUGAGGUAAAAGCUCACCAAGGCGACGAUCCGUAGCUGGUCUGAGAGGACGAUCAGCCACACUGGGACUGAGACACGGCCCAGACUCCUACGGGAGGCAGCAGUGGGGAAUAUUGGACAAUGGGGGAAACCCUGAUCCAGCAAUGCCGCGUGUGUGAAGAAGGCCUGCGGGUUGUAAAGCACUUUCAGUAGAGAAGAAAAGCCUAGGGUUAAUACCCUUGGGUCUUGACGUUACCUACAGAAGAAGCUCCGGCUAACUCCGUGCCAGCAGCCGCGGUAAUACGGAGGGAGCGAGCGUUAAUCGGAAUUACUGGGCGUAAAGCGCGCGUAGGCGGCUUUGUAAGUCGGAUGUGAAAGCCCUGGGCUUAACCUGGGAAUGGCAUACGAUACUGC
This 637-nucleotide ribosomal RNA is filed under the name uncultured bacterium. RNAcentral's name for it is "bacterial SSU rRNA". It matches the Rfam family "Bacterial small subunit ribosomal RNA", at positions 8 to 636 of the family's 1533-position model. The record is from RNAcentral.